UUACGGUCAAAUCACGCUGAAAACACCGGUUCUCGUUCGAUCACCGAAGUUAAGCAUCGUAGAGCCAGGUCAGUACUUAGAUGGGGACCGCUUGGGAAACCUGGUACUGUAAG
This is a non-coding RNA of Acanthosepion pharaonis, 113 nucleotides long. NCBI's taxonomy places the organism in Eukaryota, Metazoa, Mollusca, Cephalopoda, Sepiida, Sepiidae. The record is from the annotation of a GenBank genome assembly.